This 3160-nucleotide ribosomal RNA is filed under the name Providencia rettgeri. RNAcentral describes it as "23S ribosomal RNA". It matches the Rfam family "Bacterial large subunit ribosomal RNA". The record is from RNAcentral. Lineage: Bacteria; Pseudomonadati; Pseudomonadota; Gammaproteobacteria; Enterobacterales; Morganellaceae.
GGGUUGUGAGGUUAAGCGACUAAGCGUACACGGUGGAUGCCUAGGCAAUCAGAGGCGAUGAAGGACGUGCUAAUCUGCGAUAAGCGUCGGUAAGGUGAUAUGAACCGUUACAACCGACGAUUUCCGAAUGGGGAAACCCAGUGCAAUUCGUUGCACUAUCGUUUGAUGAAUACAUAGUCAAACGAAGCGAACCGGGGGAACUGAAACAUCUCAGUACCCCGAGGAAAAGAAAUCAACCGAGAUUCCCCUAGUAGCGGCGAGCGAACGGGGAGCAGCCCAGAGUCUUAAUCAGCAUUAGCAUCAGGAGAACGGUCUGGAAAGUCCGGCAGUAAAGGGUGAUAGCCCCGUAUCCGAAGGUGUUAGUGUUGUGAACUCGACGAGUAGGGCGGGACACGUGUUAUCCUGUCUGAAUAUGGGGGGACCAUCCUCCAAGGCUAAAUACUCCUGAUUGACCGAUAGUGAACCAGUACCGUGAGGGAAAGGCGAAAAGAACCCCGGCGAGGGGAGUGAAAUAGAACCUGAAACCGUGUACGUACAAGCAGUGGGAGCCCCACCACCAAAGCAUUUUCUGGUGUUGAGGACAACUUUGAAGUGGCAUUCAACACGCGUUGACGGAGCGCUUUUUGCGACGUCCAACACACAAACAAGCAGUGAAUGUGCUUUGGGGUGGGGUGACUGCGUACCUUUUGUAUAAUGGGUCAGCGACUUAUAUUCUGUAGCAAGGUUAACCGUAUAGGGGAGCCGUAGGGAAACCGAGUCUUAACUGGGCGAAUGAGUUGCAGGGUAUAGACCCGAAACCCGGUGAUCUAGCCAUGGGCAGGUUGAAGGUUGGGUAACACUAACUGGAGGACCGAACCGACUAAUGUUGAAAAAUUAGCGGAUGACUUGUGGCUGGGGGUGAAAGGCCAAUCAAACCGGGAGAUAGCUGGUUCUCCCCGAAAGCUAUUUAGGUAGCGCCUCGUGAACUCAUCUUCGGGGGUAGAGCACUGUUUCGACUAGGGGGUCAUCCCGACUUACCAACUCGAUGCAAACUACGAAUACCGAAGAAUGUUAUCACGGGAGACACACGGCGGGUGCUAACGUUCGUCGUGAAGAGGGAAACAACCCAGACCGCCAGCUAAGGUCCCAAAGUCAUAGUUAAGUGGGAAACGAAGUGGGAAGGCUCAGACAGCCAGGAUGUUGGCUUAGAAGCAGCCAUCAUUUAAAGAAAGCGUAAUAGCUCACUGGUCGAGUCGGCCUGCGCGGAAGAUGUAACGGGGCUAAACUAUGCACCGAAGCUGCGGCAGCGAACGUAUCACUUAAACUGAUUAAGUGAUACUCAGAUGUAUCAAAACGAUUGACGGAGCGAAGCGACGUCAAUGCGUCCAACAAAGUCGAGGCGGAAACGUCAGGCAGUCAGUUUAAGGAUACGUUCGUUGGGUAGGGGAGCGUUCUGUAAGCCUGUGAAGGUGUACUGUGAGGUAUGCUGGAGGUAUCAGAAGUGCGAAUGCUGACAUAAGUAACGAUAAUGCGGGUGAAAAACCCGCACGCCGGAAGACCAAGGGUUCCUGUCCAACGUUAAUCGGGGCAGGGUGAGUCGACCCCUAAGGCGAGGCAGAAAUGCGUAGUCGAUGGGAAACGGGUUAAUAUUCCCGUACUGGUGAUAAUUGCGAUGGGGGGACGGAGAAGGCUAGGCUAUCCGGGCGACGGUUGUCCCGGUUUAAGAAUGUAGGCAGGUGAAUUAGGCAAAUCCGGUUCACUACAUGCUGAGGUUCGAUGACGAGUCACUACGGUGAUGAAGUAGCUCAUGCCCCGCUUCCAGGAAAAGCCUCUAAGCUCUAGAUUAUCAUUAAUCGUACCCCAAACCGACACAGGUGGUCAGGUAGAGAAUACUCAGGCGCUUGAGAGAACUCGGGUGAAGGAACUAGGCAAAAUGGUGCCGUAACUUCGGGAGAAGGCACGCUGGCGCUAGGUGAAGUCCCUCGCGGAUGGAGCUGAAGCCAGUCGCAGAUACCAGCUGGCUGCAACUGUUUAUUAAAAACACAGCACUGUGCAAACACGAAAGUGGACGUAUACGGUGUGACGCCUGCCCGGUGCUGGAAGGUUAAUUGAUGGGGUUAUCCGUAAGGAGAAGCUCUUGAUCGAAGCCCCAGUAAACGGCGGCCGUAACUAUAACGGUCCUAAGGUAGCGAAAUUCCUUGUCGGGUAAGUUCCGACCUGCACGAAUGGCGUAAUGAUGGCCAGGCUGUCUCCACCCGAGACUCAGUGAAAUUGAACUCGCUGUGAAGAUGCAGUGUACCCGCGGCAAGACGGAAAGACCCCGUGAACCUUUACUAUAGCUUGACACUGAACAUUGAGCCUUGAUGUGUAGGAUAGGUGGGAGGCUUCGAAGCGUGGACGCCAGUCUGCGUGGAGCCAACCUUGAAAUACCACCCUUUAAUGUUUGAUGUUCUAACGUUGCCCCAUUAUCUGGGGUGCGGACAGUGUCUGGUGGGUAGUUUGACUGGGGCGGUCUCCUCCCAAAGAGUAACGGAGGAGCACGAAGGUUGGCUAAGCAUGGUCGGACAUCAUGCGGUUAGUGCAAAGGCAUAAGCCAGCUUGACUGCGAGAGUGACGGCUCGAGCAGGUACGAAAGUAGGUCUUAGUGAUCCGGUGGUUCUGAAUGGAAGGGCCAUCGCUCAACGGAUAAAAGGUACUCCGGGGAUAACAGGCUGAUACCGCCCAAGAGUUCAUAUCGACGGCGGUGUUUGGCACCUCGAUGUCGGCUCAUCACAUCCUGGGGCUGAAGUAGGUCCCAAGGGUACGGCUGUUCGCCGUUUAAAGUGGUACGCGAGCUGGGUUUAGAACGUCGUGAGACAGUUCGGUCCCUAUCUGCCGUGGGCGUUGGAAGAUUGAAAGGGGCUGCUCCUAGUACGAGAGGACCGGAGUGGACGCACCACUGGUGUUCGGGUUGUCAUGCCAAUGGCAUUGCCCGGUAGCUAAGUGCGGAAGAGAUAACCGCUGAAAGCAUCUAAGCGGGAAACUUGCCUUGAGAUGAGUCUUCCCUGACCCUUUAAGGGUCCUAAAGGAACGUUUAAGACUAAGACGUUGAUAGGUUGGGUGUGUAAGCAUAGCGAUAUGUUGAGCUAACCAAUACUAAUGAACCGUGAGGCUUAACCUGACAACACCGAAGGUGUUUUAG